GACAGAGGGUGCAAACGUUGCUCGGAAUUACUGGGCGUAAAGCGCGUGUAGGCGGUGCCGCACGUCCGAUGUGAAAGCCCGGGGCUCAACCCCGGACGUGCAUUGGAUACGACGGCGCUGGAGUCCUGAAGAGGAGGGCGGAAUUCCCGGUGUAGAGGUGAAAUUCGUAGAUAUCGUGAGGAAGACCAGUGGCGAAGGCGGAUCUCUGGACAGCUCCUGACGCUGAGGCGCGAAGGCUAGGGGAGCAAACGGG
RNAcentral lists this ribosomal RNA (253 nucleotides) under uncultured bacterium. Its description in RNAcentral is "partial 16S ribosomal RNA". It matches the Rfam family "Bacterial small subunit ribosomal RNA", at positions 524 to 776 of the family's 1533-position model. The record is from RNAcentral.